GCAGCCCGAGCCGAACAAGCUUGAUUUUUCUUUAAAUCAAUCGGUUUCGAGUUGCGAUGUUGUGUUUGCAAACUCGUAUUUCGAGUAAGGUAGAUCCUCUACCAACCGUUCUGUCUCAUUACUAUGAUUCAGAACAAUGUACUUCCUGUAUUUAUUUUGACCUGUCUGUCAAAUCUUACACCGCCUCAUUAGGCGGUGUUUUUUUAU
This 207-nucleotide non-coding RNA is filed under the name Vibrio azureus NBRC 104587. RNAcentral describes it as "GcvB RNA". It matches the Rfam family "GcvB RNA". Rfam says of the family: The gcvB gene encodes a small untranslated RNA involved in expression of the dipeptide and oligopeptide transport systems in Escherichia coli. Included several unknown homologues in alignment (Bateman A pers obs). Lineage: Bacteria; Pseudomonadati; Pseudomonadota; Gammaproteobacteria; Vibrionales; Vibrionaceae. The record is from Rfam by way of RNAcentral.